This 91-nucleotide transfer RNA is filed under the name Streptomyces humidus. RNAcentral's name for it is "tRNA-Arg". Lineage: Bacteria; Bacillati; Actinomycetota; Actinomycetes; Kitasatosporales; Streptomycetaceae. The record is from RNAcentral.
CCGUUCGCCGCGUGGGAGGCCGUACGGCGCCGCCUUCCGGAGGCGGCGGUGGCGGGUGCCGGAUGGCUGCUGUUCGGCGGCAUGACCGGUC